Molecule: ribosomal RNA, 254 nt
Filed under: uncultured bacterium
Lineage: Bacteria
Description: partial 16S ribosomal RNA
Rfam family: Bacterial small subunit ribosomal RNA
Source: RNAcentral
UACGUAGGGCGCAAGCGUUGUCCGGAAUUAUUGGGCGUAAAGAGCUCGUAGGCGGUGUGUUGCGUCGGCCGUGAAAACCUGCAGCUUAACUGUGGGCUUGCGGUCGAUACGGGCAUCACUGGAGUUCGGCAGGGGAGACUGGAAUUCCUGGUGUAGCGGUGAAAUGCGCAGAUAUCAGGAGGAACACCGGUGGCGAAGGCGGGAUCCUGGGCCAGUACUGACGCUGAGGAGCGAAAGCGUGGGGAGCAAACAGG